Molecule: long non-coding RNA, 806 nt
Organism: Lynx canadensis (Canada lynx)
Lineage: Eukaryota; Metazoa; Chordata; Mammalia; Carnivora; Felidae
Exons: 5
Source: RefSeq, a predicted model, not a curated record
CCCUGCUCCGCAGCUGAGCGCGCUCGGUCAAGAAUCCUGGGGAACCCGCUCCGCCCCCUGGCUCCCGCACCCUCCAAUGAUCUCGGCCUACAGGGGGCAGUUCCGUCCAAUCAAGUGUCGGAAAGCCCGGCCAGUCCCCAAGAGUGUAGCCAAUGGAACACGACUCCGGCAACACACCCGCCCUGAUCCACUGGGAACAAACCGCUCAGAGACCUGAGGUGGGACCCAGAUCCCGGCGCCCAGAGCAAGUCAAGUCCGGCCGGCCGGAGCUGUGUCACGAAAUGAACCCUGAAAGCCAUAUGUUGAAGUAGCACAAGAUGGAAGGAGGCUGAGUUUCUGGGUCACUGUCAGACUAGAAAGGUUUAUGUGUACUCUUGGAUAAAUAUUGAGCCAUUGCCAUGUAUAAACCACCAUGCUGGGCCCUAUAGGCAAUGCAAAAAGAAUAUGACAGACUGUCUCACAGUGUCUGCCCUCCAGGAUCUUAAAUUUUUGAGAGUGUGCAAGAUAUAACCUUGUAUCUUGGAUAGUUCAGCAAUGGAGUGGAUAUCUUUGAGAUGAACUUCUUGUAACAGGAAAUGUUCAUUCAGAUGCCAGAAGGACAUCAGCCAAAGACACUUAAAUGGAUGCUUUUUAGUGUAGGAGCCUGAACUAGAGUCUGGCUGCCGUUUGCCACCUGGUCCCCCAACCACCUAGUGAGGCUUCCAUGGCUCCAGUGUAUACUUGUGGAGUGAUAGAAUUUUAGAUAUGGAUAGACCCAGGGAAUCUUCUGUUCUCCUCCAGUUUCCAAGAGAGAAAUCUGAAGCAUC